AAUAUGUUUUUUAUGUAAUGCGUUAUUUCAUCAUUUUACAAUGAUGUUUAGUAUAUAAAGAAACUAUUAUGGAUUGAUAGCUGUAUAUCAGUGGAAUAAUUUUGAAAAAGACGUCCGUAUCUUGAUUCUAGGAGAAAUCUAAUCUACAAACGAAGUAAAUUGAAAUAUCUUAUUAACUUCAGGAAAGUAAAUCAAAUGAGAUUAUUUUAUCAGUAAUAAACUGAAAAAUAACAGCCUAAAAAGUAAAAUGAAUACAAUUUGUUUGACAAUAGGGAAACCUUUCUCUAAGGCUAAAUACGAUAUAUAAGCGAUAGAAUAAAAAGUAGCAUAAGGGAAGUCAUUGAAAUAGUAGUUUUAUAAGCAGCUCAAGUAUGUGUUAAUAAACAUAUUAGAGCGUACCUUUUGCAUAAUGGGUCAGCAAGUUAGUAUUAGAUGCAAGAAGCCAAAGGCUAGCCCCAGACAAACCAAUUAUUAAAUAAUGAUUAAGUAUCUAAUAUUAGACCCGAAGCCUGGUGAUCUUACCAUAAUCAGGAUUAUAAAAGUCCGAACAGGUUAUCGUUGUAAAGAUAUCUGAUGAAUUGUGGUAAGUUAGUGAAAGACAAAACUGACUAGGAUAGCUGGUUUUCCGCGAAACCUAUUUAAGUAGGUAGUUUAAAUUAUAUCAUUGCAGGUACAGAAUUGUGAUCUCAGACAAGUUAUGGCGCACAUGUUUUGGUUUAUACUCAAAUAUGUGUUAUCAGUUUGUAUACAUUGGGGGAUCGUGAAGAUUUUAUCAGUGAGGAUUUGCUCUCGGAAGGGCAAUGAUAGAUAUUAAACUCUCAGACAUAGUACGAUAAGGUUGUAUGUCUAAAGGGAAACAGCCCAGAACAAAAGUUAAAGGUUCCAAAAUAAUUGUUAAGUGAAAUUAAGGAAGUUUUUUUCAAACACAAUCAGUAAAUAGGCUUAGAAGCGGCCAUUUUUUAAAGAUCUCGUAACAGAGCACUGAUUAAUUAUUAUUUCUAAUAAUAUUGAUAACUUGAAUUAAGUUAUUAACAAUUAUUCUUAAUAGUGUUAAACGCGCCGAUGAUUUAACGGAUCUAAAUAAUAUACCGAAACUUUGUGCAUAGUUCAUCAUAAUAAGCAUAACCUAUUCUGUAAAACAUAAUCUGGAUGGAUAUAAUUGGUUUAAUUAGGCAAUUCUUUUGGCUAGCCAUUAGCUGCAAAUCGCCUAAAAUGAUUUGUGUAAAAGAAUAGGUGCUAAAAUGUACACGUUUUAUUUUUUAAUAUAACAAACUAUGAGGUAGCGGAACGUUGGGUAACAAUAAGAGUUUCUAUCGUAGAUAGAACUAACAGACCGGUUCUUAAACUGGCAAAUAUAACACCCCAAGUGAUAAUGCUGACAUGAGUAACGAAAAAGGGGAAUUAUCACCCUCGCCUUAAGCUUAUGGUAUUAAUAUUAAGUAACGGCCCCUAAGUUUAUUGAUCUGUCCUAAGGGAUUAAACGAUGGGAAAAUCUUUAUGUAUAUUUUUAAACUUUUUACUUUUAAAAGUUCUGGAAAAUAAUAUAUAUUUUAUAACCGUACCUAGAUACUAACUCAAGUAAGCAAGUAGAGUAUACAAAGGCGUCAGAGAUAACAAUCAUUAAGGAACUCGGCAAAAUGACUCCGUAACUUCGGGAUAAGGUGUGCCAUUAUUCACUAACACAUGAGGUGUGUUAGGUAUAAAUAAGAGGAGACAUAAAAUGGUGUUGUACGACUGUUUAAUUAAAACAAAGCACUUUGCAUAAGACUUUAAGUCAAAGUAUUGAGUGUGAUUUCUGCCCGAUGUUGGCUGGUUAACGGAUUUUCUUAGCCGAAAUUACUUAGGUUAGGUUUUGAAGGAACCCCCAAUCAAUGGCGGCCUUACCGAUGAGGGUCCUAAGGUAGCGGAAUACCCUGGCCGUUAAAUGCGGUCUUGCAUGAAUGAUUUAACGAUACAACAGCUGUCUCAAUGAUUGUCUCAGUGAAAUUGGAAUAACUGUGCAGAUACAGUUUUCUUCUAGUUAGACGAGAAGACCCUAUGCAGCUUUACUGUUGCUAGUAAUUGGGUAUAAUCGGACAAGUUGUAGUAUAUAAGGUAAUUGGUUAAAUAUAAGUGAAAUACCUUUGCUUAGUCUAUUAUAUCUAAUGAGCUAUAUUAUAAAAUAUAAUAUAACUCUACAUAGCUCAUCCGAAAAGAUAUAGGAAUAUAUAUUCAGGAGACAUUUGCUAGUGGAUAGUUUAUGCGGGGCACAGAUCCCAUAAAAAGUACCUGGGUGUAUCCAAAGUUAAUAUUGUAAAUUCAAUUUUUGUUCAUUAUACUAUUGAUUUAAUACUUAAUAUACGUCAACAAUUUAUUUGUUUACUGACUAUUAGUAUUACAUAUUUUACUUUGUAAUAAAUUAAAUUUAAUUUAUUCACUUAUAAUUCUAUUAAGUUAGAUCAAUUUUUUUUUUUUUAGUAAGGUUUUAACUAUAUGGAAAAUAGUGGUUAGUAAAGUAUUAUUAAUACUACUUUAAGUUGUCUUAUUUUUUAUUUGAGUAUAUAUUUUUAAAGGUGUUAGUUGUUUAAUUUUAUAAUGCAUAGUUUGAUAUUUAUAAUGCAUUUUUUGAUAUUUAUUAUGAUAAGAUUUAUCAUCCAUUAUGGAUGAAAGUGCUAUGAACAGAUUUUAGGAUUUUCAUAUUGCCAUAGGCAAGUAGUUUAUAAAUUAACACUUUAGAAAUAAAUAUUAAAAGAGGACUAAAUAAGACGAUUAUUAUCAUGACUGGAAAAGUUUAAUGGCUAAACCUUGCUUUACUGUUUGACUUACAUGUCUAUCAGUCGCGUAAGCGGGGCAUACGAUCGCAAGAUGCAGAAAGGAAAGGUCUUGUAUUUAUGAAAAAGCUACGCUAG
Molecule: ribosomal RNA, 2888 nt
Filed under: Mycosphaerelloides madeirae
Lineage: Eukaryota; Fungi; Ascomycota; Dothideomycetes; Mycosphaerellales; Mycosphaerellaceae
Description: bacterial LSU rRNA
Rfam family: Bacterial large subunit ribosomal RNA (bases 46-2339)
Source: RNAcentral